AUGUUCUGGAAAACUCUCUCACUGCUAGGUAUGAGCAAACUCUCACAACUUAAUCAAUUCUAUAAGCAACGUAGCAAGAAGAAUUGGGCAGUUAAGGGUGAUCGUAAUACUAAAUUUUUUCACCAAGCUGUUCUUAAACGUAGAAAGAGAAAUACUAUUUGUUCAAUUACAGAUGAGCAUGACAUGAUCCAUUUCAAACCUGAUGCCAUCAUGCAAACUUUUGUUAACUAUUUUAACAACGUGGACAUGCCUUUCCCUCUUACCCAAUGGUCUAAUGAUAAUGACAAUCCUACUUAUUCUGUCCGUGAUAAAGAUGAGAUUUUUCAGAUUCUUAAGGACAUGAAACUCAAUGCUUCUCCAGGGCCAGAUGGCUUCAAUGUGGAAUUUUAUUUAGCUACUUGGGAUUGGAUUGGAGAUGAAGUAACUCAGCUUGUGUCUAAUUUUUAUUCUACUGCCACUCUUCCUUCUCAUAUUAAUGACACCAAUAUCGCUCUCAUCCCUAAAAAGUUGGUUCCUCUUGUGCCCAUGGAUUAUAGGCUUAUUAGUCUUUGUAAUGUGCUCUAUAAAAUCAUUGCUAAAUCUUUGGCUAAUCGGCUUAAACCUCACCUUCCAGAUUUUAUUGACCCUCCUCAGCAAGCUUUUAUUGAGGGUAGAAGGAUUAGUGACAAUAAUAUUAUUGCUCAAGAGAUUGCUCACUCUUUUUCUCUCAAAUCAUGGAAACAGGAUGCUUUCAUGCUUAAGAUUGAUCUUGCUAAGGUUGUUGAUCGCCUUGAAUGGAAUUUUAUUGUUUACGCUCUGUCACGUAAAGGGCUGCAUGUCAUUUCAUUAAUUUGGUCUAUGCAUGCAUUUCUUCUCCCACGUUCUCUGUGCUCAUUAAUGGCCAGCCUUCUCAAAAGUUUAAAAGUUUCCAUGGAAUCCGACAAGGAUGUCCUAUGUCUCCUUACUUAUUUGUCAUUACUAUUAAUGAACUUUCAAUCAUGCUCAAUGAAGCUUUGCAGGCCAGUCAUUUAA
This 1011-nucleotide ribosomal RNA is filed under the name Triticum aestivum (bread wheat). RNAcentral describes it as "partial small subunit ribosomal RNA". Lineage: Eukaryota; Viridiplantae; Streptophyta; Magnoliopsida; Poales; Poaceae. The record is from RNAcentral.